GAUGAACGCUGGCGGCGUGCCUAAUACAUGCAAGUCGAGCGAACGGACGAGAAGCUUGCUUCUCUGAUGUUAGCGGCGGACGGGUGAGUAACACGUGGAUAACCUACCUAUAAGACUGGGAUAACUUCGGGAAACCGGAGCUAAUACCGGAUAAUAUUUUGAACCGCAUGGUUCAAAAGUGAAAGACGGUCUUGCUGUCACUUAUAGAUGGAUCCGCGCUGCAUUAGCUAGUUGGUAAGGUAACGGCUUACCAAGGCAACGAUGCAUAGCCGACCUGAGAGGGUGAUCGGCCACACUGGAACUGAGACACGGUCCAGACUCCUACGGGAGGCAGCAGUAGGGAAUCUUCCGCAAUGGGCGAAAGCCUGACGGAGCAACGCCGCGUGAGUGAUGAAGGUCUUCGGAUCGUAAAACUCUGUUAUUAGGGAAGAACAUAUGUGUAAGUAACUGUGCACAUCUUGACGGUACCUAAUCAGAAAGCCACGGCUAACUACGUGCCAGCAGCCGCGGUAAUACGUAGGUGGCAAGCGUUAUCCGGAAUUAUUGGGCGUAAAGCGCGCGUAGGCGGUUUUUUAAGUCUGAUGUGAAAGCCCACGGCUCAACCGUGGAGGGUCAUUGGAAACUGGAAAACUUGAGUGCAGAAGAGGAAAGUGGAAUUCCAUGUGUAGCGGUGAAAUGCGCAGAGAUAUGGAGGAACACCAGUGGCGAAGGCGACUUUCUGGUCUGUAACUGACGCUGAUGUGCGAAAGCGUGGGGAUCAAACAGGAUUAGAUACCCUGGUAGUCCACGCCGUAAACGAUGAGUGCUAAGUGUUAGGGGGUUUCCGCCCCUUAGUGCUGCAGCUAACGCAUUAAGCACUCCGCCUGGGGAGUACGACCGCAAGGUUGAAACUCAAAGGAAUUGACGGGGACCCGCACAAGCGGUGGAGCAUGUGGUUUAAUUCGAAGCAACGCGAAGAACCUUACCAAAUCUUGACAUCCUUUGACAACUCUAGAGAUAGAGCCUUCCCCUUCGGGGGACAAAGUGACAGGUGGUGCAUGGUUGUCGUCAGCUCGUGUCGUGAGAUGUUGGGUUAAGUCCCGCAACGAGCGCAACCCUUAAGCUUAGUUGCCAUCAUUAAGUUGGGCACUCUAAGUUGACUGCCGGUGACAAACCGGAGGAAGGUGGGGAUGACGUCAAAUCAUCAUGCCCCUUAUGAUUUGGGCUACACACGUGCUACAAUGGACAAUACAAAGGGCAGCGAAACCGCGAGGUCAAGCAAAUCCCAUAAAGUUGUUCUCAGUUCGGAUUGUAGUCUGCAACUCGACUACAUGAAGCUGGAAUCGCUAGUAAUCGUAGAUCAGCUUGCUACGGUGAAUACGUUCCCGGGUCU
This 1372-nucleotide ribosomal RNA is filed under the name uncultured bacterium. Its description in RNAcentral is "bacterial SSU rRNA". It matches the Rfam family "Bacterial small subunit ribosomal RNA", at positions 28 to 1381 of the family's 1533-position model. The record is from RNAcentral.